AACGAACGCUGGCGGCAGGCCUAACACAUGCAAGUCGAACGCUGCAGCAAUGCAGAGUGGCAGACGGGUGAGUAGCGCGUGGGAACCUUCCCAAUGGUACGGAAUAGCCCAGGGAAACUUGGGGUAAUACCGUAUAAGCCCCAUGGGGGAAAGAUUUAUCGCCAUUGGAUGGGCCCGCGUCGGAUUAGCUAGUUGGUGAGGUAACGGCUCGCCAAGGCGACGAUCCGUAGCUGGUUUGAGAGAAUGACCAGCCACACUGGGACUGAGACACGGCCUAGACUCCUACGGGAGGCAGCAGUGGGGAAUCUUGGACAAUGGGCGAAAGCCUGAUCCAGCCAUGCCGCGUGAGUGACGAAGGCCUUAGGGUUGUAAAGCUCUUUUGGCGGGGACGAUAAUGACGGUACCCGCAGAAUAAGUCCCGGCUAACUUCGUGCCAGCAGCCGCAGUAA
Molecule: ribosomal RNA, 449 nt
Filed under: uncultured bacterium
Lineage: Bacteria
Description: partial 16S ribosomal RNA
Rfam family: Bacterial small subunit ribosomal RNA
Source: RNAcentral